GAAAUUUUUUGAAGAAUAUUUUCAUCCUUUUGAGGAUAAUAAUCUUCCGGAUCCGCAUAACUGCACUUUGUACAUAAAAUAAUAGUUAAAAAAAUUCAAAAUCACCACUGUCCAAAAAUUACAUUUUUUUUUUCAAUUUCACUUCUUUUUUUUUUUAAACUAUUCUAGAGGUAGACUAAAUAAUAGCAACAUUGUGAUUAUCCUUAGCAAGGAAAAAGUUAAUUAACUUUAACUCGGGUUAAAACUAUUUCUAAAGCAAAAUUUGAACUAAAGCUCAAUCAACUAAAACAAAAAUCAUCAAAUCUCUUACACAUUGGCUAUCAUCCAAUCACAGCUGAAGUGAGUGAAAAUUUUAGUUUUUGGGAAUAACAUGGCAAGUCCAAAAUCUGCAAUCUAAACAAAAUAGUUGUGUGAGCUAAUUUAUUUUGGAUU
RNAcentral lists this unclassified non-coding RNA (432 nucleotides) under Hevea brasiliensis (rubber tree). The record is from RNAcentral. Lineage: Eukaryota; Viridiplantae; Streptophyta; Magnoliopsida; Malpighiales; Euphorbiaceae.